GACGAACGCUGGCGGCGUGCUUAACACAUGCAAGUCGAACGGAAGGGCCCUUCGGGGUCCUCGAGUGGCGAACGGGUGAGUAACACGUGGGUGAUCUGCCCUGCACUUUGGGAUAAGCCUGGGAAACUGGGUCUAAUACCGAAUAGGACCACGCGCUUCAUGGUGUGUGGUGGAAAGCUUUUGCGGUGUGGGAUGGGCCCGCGGCCUAUCAGCUUGUUGGUGGGGUAAUGGCCUACCAAGGCGACGACGGGUAGCCGGCCUGAGAGGGUGACCGGCCACACUGGGACUGAGAUACGGCCCAGACUCCUACGGGAGGCAGCAGUGGGGAAUAUUGCACAAUGGGCGCAAGCCUGAUGCAGCGACGCCGCGUGAGGGAUGACGGCCUUCGGGUUGUAAACCUCUUUCAAUAGGGACGAAGCGCAAGUGACGGUACCUAUAGAAGAAGCACCGGCCAACUACGUG
Molecule: ribosomal RNA, 462 nt
Filed under: uncultured bacterium
Lineage: Bacteria
Description: partial 16S ribosomal RNA
Rfam family: Bacterial small subunit ribosomal RNA
Source: RNAcentral